CAUUAGGGUGAAAGCCCUAUUCUAGCAAUAGACUUCAUACGAGGUGCUGCAUGGCUGUCGUCAGCUCGUGCCGUGAGGUGUUAGGUUAAGUCCUGCAACGAGCGCAACCCCUGUUUCCAGUUGCCAUCAAGUAAAGUUGGGGGACUCUGGGAGAGACUGCCUGCGCAAGCAGAGAGGAAGGUGGGGAUGACGUCAAGUCAGCACGGCCCUUACGUCCAGGGCUACACACGUGCUACAAUGGCCGGUACAGAGGGCAGCGACCUGGUGACAGGUAGCGAAUCUCCAAAGCCGGUCUCAGUUCGGAUCGGAGUCUGCAACUCGACUCCGUGAAGCUGGAUUCGCUAGUAAUCGGAUAUCAGCAAUGAUCCGGUGAAUACGUUCCCGGGCCUU
Molecule: ribosomal RNA, 390 nt
Filed under: uncultured Bacteroidales bacterium
Lineage: Bacteria; Pseudomonadati; Bacteroidota; Bacteroidia; Bacteroidales
Description: bacterial SSU rRNA
Rfam family: Bacterial small subunit ribosomal RNA
Source: RNAcentral